This 400-nucleotide ribosomal RNA is filed under the name uncultured bacterium. Its description in RNAcentral is "bacterial SSU rRNA". It matches the Rfam family "Bacterial small subunit ribosomal RNA", at positions 355 to 746 of the family's 1533-position model. The record is from RNAcentral.
UGGGGAAUAUUGCGCAAUGGGCGAAAGCCUGACGCAGCAACGCCGCGUGAGUGAUGAAGGUUUUCGGAUCGUAAAGCUCUGUCAGAAGGAAAGAAUAGUCUCGUUGCUAAUACCAGCGAGAUUUGACGGUACCUUCAAAGGAAGCACCGGCUAACUCCGUGCCAGCAGCCGCGGUAAUACGGAGGGUGCAAGCGUUGUUCGGAAUUACUGGGCGUAAAGCGCGUGUAGGUGGAUUCAGAAGUCAGGUGUGAAAGCCCCAGGCUCAACUUGGGAAGUGCGCUUGAAACCAUGAAUCUAGAGGUCCGGAAGGGAUCGGGGAAUUCCCAGUGUAGAAGUGAAAUUCGUAGAUAUUGGGAGGAACACCGGCGGCGAAGGCGCCGAUCUGGACGGAUACUGACAC